RNAcentral lists this unclassified non-coding RNA (2670 nucleotides) under Amphibalanus amphitrite. RNAcentral's name for it is "serum response factor-like, transcript variant X3". The record is from RNAcentral. Lineage: Eukaryota; Metazoa; Arthropoda; Thecostraca; Balanomorpha; Balanidae.
AUUUGUCUCGGUGGGGGUUGGACGCUCUUCUUUCGUGCUCGUGCGGGAGAAUUGGAUUGUUUGUUUUGGUUAUCCACAUCCAUAUUUGUAAAUCAUUGCAAAUGUCAGGUGGAAGGUGUAAAGACAGUGCAACGUGCGUUUCCCUGCUGGGAAAAAAGUGAGUGAGUAAAGCAAUGCAGAAUUCGAGUGGAGAUGGUAACGGCCAAGAUUCACAACAUUACUCGCUGAACUUUCCUGUGAAUCCAAGUUCGGAGUUCUACCACAACUUGACAUCCUCAAGUUCGAGUGUGUCCAAUAUACCAGGUCUUCUGAGACUCGCACCAACCUCCCCAAUGGGUAUGCCAGUGGUAUCCAGUGGAAUUCAGACUGUUGCGGGGGCCAGCCAUGGUUAUGUGGUUCCAGGCAGCAACCCCUUGAAAAGAACUGCCCAAGAUGCAGGGUUCUCUGACCAGAGACAGUGUGAGAUGCCAUCAUCUGAUGAUGAUGGCUCCAUAUCGGACAAAUUCUCAAUACCCCAAACAUCAGUGUCGCCGACUGAGGGCCAGCCAAAGAUAUCGGAUGCCUCGCCAGUGGUGAAGAAAACCAAGGGCAGGGUGAAGAUUAAGAUGGAGUUCAUCGACAACAAGCUAAGAAGAUACACUACAUUUUCCAAGAGAAAGACUGGAAUCAUGAAAAAGGCCUACGAGCUAUCCACUCUGACGGGCACCCAGGUGAUGCUCCUCGUGGCCUCAGAGACUGGCCACGUCUACACGUUCGCCACGCGCAAACUGCAGCCCAUGAUCACCUCCGAGGCUGGCAAGGCGCUGAUCCAGACGUGCCUCAACUCGCCGGACCCCUCGGCGUCGGCGCCCGGCACGGGCGAUCAGCGCAUGUCGGCCACCGGCUUCGAGGAGACUGAGCUCUGCUACAACAUCAACGAAGACGAGCAGAAAGAGGAAUACGAGGAGGACGGCGUCGAGGAGGUGGAGGAUGACGAACAGGAGCAGAAGCCCAGUAACGGCUUCUACGGCCACGCGCCGCAGCUGUCGGAGCCGUCGGGAGCCGUGUCGGUGGCGACGGUGAUGCCGGCCGCCGUCAGCCUCACGCCGGUCAGGGCAGUCGGCACGGUGUCCAGUCUGAGCGGCGGCACGAUACCCACCGCUCCCGUGGUGACGGCCAGCAGCGCGCACACGCUGCUCACCACGCAGCUGCUCUCACAGAUCAAACAGAGUCAGCAGCUGGCGCUCCACCUGGCGGCCAGCUCGGCGCAGCAGCCCAGCUCGCUCCACCUGGCGGCCAGCUCGGCGCAGCAGCCCAGCUGCUCGUCCGGGGACGGACCGCGGCUCGUCAGCACGCCGAUGUCGUCCCUGUUCCAAACGUCUCCGGGCCUGCUGCAGUUACCCGAGGGACUGGUCCUCCUCAACAGCCCCUCAACGGUCAUACAGGCUGUAAAACCAGAUCAUGCGGGUGAGCCGCCGAACAGCUCCCAGCCCACCGAUCUCUCCAAGUCUCGCGUCUCCUCGUAAUGUACUCAGCUGCGGGGAUGGAGAUUUGGGGAGAAGACCUCAGGCCGUCGUCUGCCUGCGACUCUCCCUCACACAGUCUUGUGGUCAUGAGAGACGAAUCGGACAUCACUGGAAGGUACGCCCUGGCCUCCCUUCAGACUGUGGUCAGAAGACUGGAGUGGGCUGAACAUUACGGUGGAUACUGGUGACUGGUGUGGACGCGAUGUGUCCAGCUGGCCCGAGGGAGAGUAUCGAUGAUUUGAAGAGAGACUGAGAGGAGUGUAAUGCGAGGUAUUGCCGAAAUGGCGAGUUCAAACCUUGCAUAUCGUACUAGUCACGUCUUUUGUACGUAAUCAAUGUACGAAGUUUGUUGGUUGUUCAUUUGGUUGUACUAAAUUGAAUGGAGAGAAUGAAUAGCGUUAAGUGUUUUCAAAACGCUUCCUGAUUUAUGAUCGGUUUUAACGUAUUUUUGCUUACUUGUUCUGUUAACAAAAGCUAUCGCAAAGCGUUUAGCGCUGAAGUACGGCUUUACAUUGAAAGGACUGAUGACGAUAACUGCUUCCAGUACAGUAUUGCGUGUACCUGGUGAGUAAUAACUUAACCCCCAAUAAUCAGUUAAAGUGAAUGAUGUUUAAUGGGGCUGCCCCAUGGACUUACGACAAAUCAGUCUUUAUUUAUGCAGGGACUCUGUAUACAUCUGGUCAUCUACUAAUCCGACUAGAUAAGUCCUUUUCUACAAGCAGAUCAUGGCUGGCCCAAACCAAAGGUGCAUGUUGCUCAAUAUUCAGCCCUAUAUGAGGCACUGCGUGAACGGCUGCUGUCGUCUCUGUCGCGUUAUACACCGUACCGCUGGCUCAGUUUGCUUUGCUGAGCUGGCCUGUGGCGCCUGUUGUACCUCCCUUGCGGCGCGCGCGCAUGGAGUCUCGUGUAUUGGCCUGGUGCCUGUGCCGCUCGCGAGAGGCGAGUGGGCCGGCUAGCCCUGGGUCCAAUGGGCGUGGUGUGUGUGCCACGUGCCGCGUGUCCCGUGUGGUCUAACCCCGUGUGCCGUGGUGUGAGUGUGCUGAGUGGCAGGCAUCUCUCGCACCCGUCAUUAUGACACUCAUGCACCUAGUUUGUCAGACAGGGCAGAGCCCCAGUGUUGCAACCUGCGUGCGUUGUUACUUUUUGUAAUAAACUGACGUGCUGA